RNAcentral lists this ribosomal RNA (253 nucleotides) under uncultured bacterium. RNAcentral's name for it is "partial 16S ribosomal RNA". It matches the Rfam family "Bacterial small subunit ribosomal RNA", at positions 524 to 776 of the family's 1533-position model. The record is from RNAcentral.
CACGUAGGGUGCGAGCGUUGUCCGGAAUUACUGGGCGUAAAGAGCUCGUAGGUGGUUUGUCGCGUUGUCCGUGAAAACUCACAACUCAAUUGUGGGCGUGCGGGCGAUACGGGCAGACUGGAGUACUGCAGGGGAGACUGGAAUUCCUGGUGUAGCGGUGGAAUGCGCAGAUAUCAGGAGGAACACCGGUGGCGAGGGCGGGUCUCUGGGCAGUAACUGACGCUGAGGAGCGAAAGCGUGGGGAGCGAACAGG